This 723-nucleotide ribosomal RNA is filed under the name Bacillus sp. 73ND23. RNAcentral describes it as "bacterial SSU rRNA". It matches the Rfam family "Bacterial small subunit ribosomal RNA", at positions 75 to 773 of the family's 1533-position model. Lineage: Bacteria; Bacillati; Bacillota; Bacilli; Caryophanales; Bacillaceae. The record is from RNAcentral.
GGGCUAGCUCCCGGAUGUUAGCGGCGGACGGGUGAGUAACACGUGGGUAACCUGCCUGUAAGACUGGGAUAACUCCGGGAAACCGGAGCUAAUACCGGAUAGUUCCUUGAACCGCAUGGUUCAAGGAUGAAAGACGGUUUCGGCUGUCACUUACAGAUGGACCCGCGGCGCAUUAGCUAGUUGGUGGGGUAAUGGCUCACCAAGGCGACGAUGCGUAGCCGACCUGAGAGGGUGAUCGGCCACACUGGGACUGAGACACGGCCCAGACUCCUACGGGAGGCAGCAGUAGGGAAUCUUCCGCAAUGGACGAAAGUCUGACGGAGCAACGCCGCGUGAGUGAUGAAGGUUUUCGGAUCGUAAAGCUCUGUUGUUAGGGAAGAACAAGUGCGAGAGUAACUGCUCGCACCUUGACGGUACCUAACCAGAAAGCCACGGCUAACUACGUGCCAGCAGCCGCGGUAAUACGUAGGUGGCAAGCGUUGUCCGGAAUUAUUGGGCGUAAAGGGCUCGCAGGCGGUUUCUUAAGUCUGAUGUGAAAGCCCCCGGCUCAACCGGGGAGGGUCAUUUGGAAACUGGGAAACUUGAGUGCAGAAGAGGAGAGUGGAAUUCCCCGGGGUACCGGUGAAAAUGGCGUAAAGAUGUGGAGGAAACACCAAUGGGCGAAGGCGACUCUCUGGGUCUGUAACUGACCCCUGAAGGAGCCAAAAGCGGGGGGAAGCGAAC